This 5531-nucleotide long non-coding RNA is filed under the name Sus scrofa (pig). Its description in RNAcentral is "lncRNA (ENSSSCG00065027093.1)". The record is from RNAcentral. Lineage: Eukaryota; Metazoa; Chordata; Mammalia; Artiodactyla; Suidae.
UAAAUACCUGUGUUUUCCCUAGAGCACUUGGCACAAUCAUAGAUCUCAAGAAGUGUUUGCUAAUGAUUGUGAAAGAGACUUUGGGAGCACUAUGAUCCAAACCACCAUUUAAAAAGUGAUAAAACUAUGAGGUCAUUACACGAAUCAGAUGGCCUAAGAUCCCAGAGGUGGACCCUUCAGAUUCUAAGUAAUGAAAACAGUGGAAGCCUGGUUCUGCAAAUUUCAGCUCUUCCUUGUCAUUUGUCCAGAAGCCUAAACGGAAACAGUCUUCCUUCCAGGCCCAUCUAUCACAGCCACAGAGUUACGUAAUAAAACGUCAAAAUAAUGACUUGGAGACACUGUGAAAUGCUACAGUGCCUGCCAAACUUCCAAGAAACAGGUAAGCUUUUAUAAAAAUAAGUAUAUUUUAUGGACUUAUAAUACUUUGAAAAUUGAAAACAAUAUAUAGUUGAGCAUAAUAUUAAAAGUAGCAUCAUGACAUUCUUCAACUAUUUCAGUGAAAGCAGCCUUUUCACACACUAUCUGAGAUCAUUUCAGCUUUCAAAAAUGAUAAGAGUCUGCUUGUAAUUAACACAUAAAUGAUGACUCAAUGACAAUUUAAUUUUUUGUGUAAAAGCAACAUGCACUAGCAUGGAAUUCUCCCUAUUAAAGCCCAAUCUCCUUUGCUGUUAGUUUUCAGAUACUUUCUAAUAUGUAGUAUAAAAAUUUUUGCAUUAUUUUUUAAAAUAAAAAUUGGUUAAUUUUUUUUUCACAACCAAAGCCACAUAUAAGGAAGUUCCUGAUAAAAAUAAAAACAUCUUUUUCAAAUAUUCAUGUUCAUGGUAGGAAUUUUAGAAAACAGAAAAGUAUAAAGCAGAAAAUUAAAACUGUCUAGAUUUCACCAUCCAAAGAUGACUGCUUUUAAUAUUCUUAUACAUUUUUCUUUGGGUUUUAAAUCUUUUUGUUUAGAAAAAAUUUAGAAGGAUAGAAAAGUUGCAAGUAUAGCACAGAAGGUUACCGUAUAUACUUCAGACAGCUUCCCUUAAGGUUAGGGCUUACAUUAUCAUAGUACUGUUACCAAAACUUAGGAAAUCAACAUUGAAACAAUCCUAUUAAUGAAGCCAAAGACUAUUAAAAUUAUCCAGCUUUUUUUUUGUUUUGUUAUUAAUGUCCUUUUACUGUUUCCAGGAUCCUCUUUAGGAUCUCAUGUUGUAUUAGGUGUCAUGUUUCUGACGUGUGAUGAGAUUGACACUUCAGAAGAAGACUACUCAGUUAUUUUAACUUCUUUCUACAAUGGACAGUGGAAAAACUGGCUGUCAUUUUUCAUUUGUUGUUGGUGUUUUUUUUUUUUUUUUUUUUUUAAGGGCUGUACUUGAGGCAUAUGAAAGUUCCCAGGCUAGAGGUCGAAUUGGAGCUGUAGCUGCUGUCUACACCACAACCACAGCAACACAGGAUCUGAGCCCCAUCUGUGACCUACACCACAGCUCACAGCAAUGUUGGGUCCUUAACCCACUGAGCGAGGUCAGGGAUGGAACCUGCAUCUUCAUGGAUACUAGUUGGGUUCAUUACCACUGCUCCACAAAAGGAUCUUCCAGAAAAUAGUUUCUGAAUUAUGAAUCUACACUCAUGUGAGAAAUUUACUAAGGUAAGUACAUUAUUUUUGUACAGUUCUUUUUGUCUCUAGCCUUAUAUCAUUCAGUCAAGACACUACUUUCCAAAGUAACAUAGAUUCCAGUUCUUUCCCUGUUCACAUCCUUCAGUGUUAUGCUAUUCAUUUGGGGAGGUGUGCCUGGGAAGCCUGAAGACCUGUUUCAUCUCUCUCCAAGUCCUUCCCACUGAACACCCUGUGACCAACAGUCACCAGCACCUUAUAAUAUGUGGUUUUACAUCCAUAUUAAAUCAUUCUUUCCCUCACUGUCCCCUAACCAAGUUCCUUUAUUGGGAAGCUCCAAAAAUUUAUACUGAAAAUACAUUUUUGUUAAAACUCCUUACCUAGAGUUUGUUUCCCCAGAGCUUGUACUGGAGUGAUGGAAAUAACAUGCUCCUUUGUAGUUCAAAGAGCUGCAGGGAACAGAAGCUCCCAAAACUGCCCUGAAGGCAACUGAAACUUUGGGCUUUAGCUGUCAUCAGGCAGCCCCACAGGACUGUCAACAGGUAGGAACCAAGGACUGUUCAAGCUGGCUGACCAGUUGUGGGAGGCCUUCCGGAAUGGCAGGUUUUCAAACAGUAGCAAGACUGUGGUGUCUUAAAAGCCCCGAUUUCUCUUCUGCCGUAGUAUGGACCAUGUUUCAUCCCAGACAUUUUGACCUCUGCGGCAGCCAUGACUGUGUAGCUCAAGGCAUUUUUAUUUCCUUUGAUUUGGUAUUUGCUAACUAUACUUCAAAUAUCUCUAGAACCAAAUGAUUCAUUGAACCCUUGAAAGCUAAAUGAAAAGAAUCUCAUAUUUUCCUGCUCUUUUUUUGGCCUUUUGAUACUCUUUAAUUUUAGAGUCAACUUUUCAGUUUGGAAACUGAAAAGGCUGAAGAACUUAGCCCAUUUAUAUCUUCAAAAAAUAAUGAAAUAGAUAAGCUAAGUCUGUCUUGAGGCAUCACAAUAAUAGAGUCUUCCCACUGAAAUGGACAAUUGCCUUUGUACAAUGGUUAAGGGCAGAUAGGAGAAGGAAGAAAGAGAAAGAUAAUGCCAUCUGCCCACCUUAUUAUUAUUAUUAUUUUUCCUAAAGCAAGUGUUGAAGAUUUUUCAGAUGAAAUAGGAGUGUUCCAUUUUACCUCCAUGCAGGGAUUCUUGGUAUAGUAGGAAGUGGUUUUCUACCCAUCUGAAAACUCUUCUUAGCCAGGCAUCAAAGACUGGAGCCAGAGAUGUAAGCAGGGGUGGGGUAGAAAGAGCUCAUAUGCUGAAUCAAUCAGCCUGGAUUUGAUUCAACCUGCUGUCAAUUACCAGCAAAGUGACUUUAAGCAAGUCACUUAAUUUUUCUGACUCUCUAUUUCCCCAUCCAUAAAGUCACACAUACCUCACAGGUUCUUAUUAGGAUCAGAUAAAAAAUUUGUGUCAAAAAGCCUGGAACAUAAUAGGCUUUCUAUAAAUGUUAAUUGAAUCAGAAAAUAACCUUGGGUCAACGUGUUCUGCCUUUCAGCCAACACCAGUGAUAGCAUUUUGUGUAUAGUGGUUUUGUCGCCUGGCUACUUAGGCACUGCCGUGGACAUUAUAACACAGGAGAAGCAAACUUUGACGAAUGGCAGCUCACAUUGUAGAGCUAACGCUUCAGACUCAAUCACACAUGGAGAGGAUGAUACACUAACAUCUACCACAGAAUUGUGGCCAAAGACUUAAUGUGAUGUGGCCUCUUCUGGGUAGGAAGAAAUACAACCAUAAUCUGGUGCCUCAAAUAAAGCCCUAUUUUAAGGAAAAUAAAACUCUUUCAGGAAUUUUCUCAGGACUGCUUGCCUUUUUUUUUUUUUUUUUUUUUUUUUUCCAACUGGACUCUAAAAAAUUUUUUGCAGCUGUUAAAAAAUGUUAUAAAAUAUCGGAGUUCCCGUCGUGGCGCAGUGGUUAACGAAUCCAACUAGGAACCAUGAGGUUGCGGGUUCGAUCCCUGCCCUUGCUCAGUAGGUUAAUGAUCCGGUGUUGCCGUGAGCUGUGGUGUAGGUUGCAGACGCGGCUCGGAUCCCGCGUUGCUGUGGCUCUGGCGUAGGCUGGUGGCUACAGCUCCGAUUCAACCCCUAGCCUGGGAACCUCCAUAUGCCACGGGAGCGGCCCAAGAAAUAGCAACAAUAACAACAACAACAACAACAACAAAAAAGACCAAAAAAAAAAAAAGUUAUAAAAUAUCUUUAAAAUUUUUUAUUUAAUACAGCAUUUUCCUGCUCCUUUAAAAGUCAGCUUACUUCAUGGAAAGUUGCUACAUAAUGAAAACUUUCUUAGUUAAAUCUCAUUAGCAACCAAUCCAUAUCAAUAAUAAAAUUUCCUAUUUGUUGCCUUAACCUAAAAUAGGGUAACUCUAUAAUUUAUUAUCCAGACUGAAACACUUUGGGGAAUGAAAGUUGGCUUCAUUAAUUAUUAUGCUGGAACCAUAAAGCAUAUUUAGGGAUGGUCUUAGAAAAACCUGGACAGAAGGUCACUCUAACUUUCCAGAAAUGUUGGCUAGCCUGAGCAUUGGUAUCUAAGAGAACUAAUGCAUGAGGGUCCUGCAGAAGGAGUAGGGGGUGUUUUCGUUCAGCAGAAGCAUUUCUGGAUUCUUUUUUCUCCCCUGAAUUGUAAGACUUGCUUGUAGUUUAAAUUUUAGCACUAGCUGUUACUUUAAGAAAAACACUGUGCAUUGAAAUUGUCCCAGAAUUUCAAAGGAGAAAUAAAUUUCCUGUAUUCAUGUCCUAGAAUUUCAUUUAUUGUUUGCUAAUGCAUUAGAAACAUUGUGUUAAUUUUUGAUUAUUAGAUUUGAACCUAAUUGUAUGGCACACCCUGUGCCCCCAUCCCCUAUAAAGGGAUAUUUUUCCCACAGGUCUGAGGAUAUGUGGUUAAAAGACAAAUCUUGGCUUUCAGAUAAAGCUUGAAGAUAAGCAGAAUUACCUUUGUAUAUAUUAGAUUUUAUAGUUAUUUUUGUUUAAAUAUUACGGUGUGUAUAAUAUAUAUUUGAAUCUAUUAGAUUUAUCAAUUAGCUACACUGGAAGUUGUCUUAAUAUUGUGCAAUGCAUUCUGCAAGUAAUUUUCUUAAUAACAUAAUAACAUAAAUAUCCUCAUUGAUUGUUAUAACUAACUCACAGUUAUUUAAAAUGUUUUGAUAAUGGCAUUGCGCCCUUUUCAGGAAUCAGGCAAGCUCUAUUUAUUCUAUGUCCUUCCUUUUUCAAGUUUUCUAUGUUCACCUUGAAAAUUCACAACAUUUAGGUAUAUCUUCCAGCUAGUACAUUACUGGAGACACUAAAGAUUUGAAGGGAAAAAAAAUGAACAAAUUUUGAAAGCCCUGAUUAGUAAGUUUUUUUGGUCAAAAGCUGGAUACUAUAAAAUAUUUAACAUGUUUAUCCCCAGCUGCAUUUGCAAUUUUAUUUUUCUCCUCAUUUUUGUAUGACGUUCAUUUUAUAACACAAGUGGAAUUUUUGAACUAUUUUCUAUGUGCUGAGCAGGAUUAUCAUCGUAAAGAUGACAAAGUGAAUGAGACACAUGUCCUGUCUAAGGGUGACCACUAUCUCAUUUUUGCUAUUUAGAAAAUGGUAACAAGGUAAGGAUUCUAUUUGUAUUGUAUGUGUCCAGAGUUUAGAAAAAAAGCUCAAAAUAUGCAAAUUCUAAAAUUAUUUUGAAGUUCAGCUAUUUAAAAGGUCAAGAAAGUUGUUUUCUUCUCAAGAACAGACGGAGAUGGAGGAAAACCUGCCAACCAAAGAGGUUCAAUUUGGACAUGCAUUCAUUAACUUCUCCAGGCACUGCCACUCUACCCAGAUGAGAGAAGAUACUUCCUGAAUGUUCUAGGGGCCGUCAGGCUGAAUGAGUGCAUUUCCCAAAGCAGAAACCCCAUUUUCCACCAAUAUUUAAUGAUUUCUUUGUUCCCCCUCUAUUAAACAAAGGUUUUG